GAUCAUGGCUCAGGAUGAACGCUGGCGGCGUGCCUAAUACAUGCAAGUAGAACGCUGAAGGAGGAGCUUGCUCUUCUGGAUGAGUUGCGAACGGGUGAGUAACGCGUAGGUAACCUGCCUGGUAGCGGGGGAUAACUAUUGGAAACGAUAGCUAAUACCGCAUGACAACAGUUAUUGCAUGAUAACUGUUUAAAAGGGGGUACGAACUGCUCCACUACCAGAUGGACCUGCGUUG
Molecule: ribosomal RNA, 235 nt
Filed under: uncultured bacterium
Lineage: Bacteria
Description: partial 16S ribosomal RNA
Rfam family: Bacterial small subunit ribosomal RNA
Source: RNAcentral